CUAUGCGCCUUGCCAGCCCGCUCAGGUGUGCCAGCAGCCGCGGUAAUACAGAGGUCGUCAAGCGCUGUUCGGAAUCACUGGGCGUAAAGCGUGCGUAGGCGGUUUCGUAAGUCGUGUCGUGAAAGGCGGGGGCGUCAACCCCCGGACUGCACAUGAUACUGCGAGACUAGAGUAAUGGAGGGGAACCGGAAUUCUCGGUGUAGCAGUGAAAUGCGUAGAUAUCGAGAGGAACACUCGUGGCGAAGGCGGGUUCCUGGACAUUAACUGACGCUGAGGCACGAAGGCCAGGGAGCGAAAGGG
This 300-nucleotide ribosomal RNA is filed under the name uncultured bacterium. RNAcentral describes it as "bacterial SSU rRNA". It matches the Rfam family "Bacterial small subunit ribosomal RNA", at positions 475 to 776 of the family's 1533-position model. The record is from RNAcentral.